CCAGUGGAAGCAGCAUGACUGAGUUGUCAUCAAUCAGCCACGCACAGGAGCUCCUCGCAAGAUUUCUGACCAGGGAGUCCAAUAGUCAGAAGAGUAGCUCAAGACCCAAGGACCAAUCGGAAAGAGCUAAGGAAACACUUGGAGGCAGCAGAAAAAGAAUCAAGGUGUUGGAAUGGCCCAGUGAAUCACCAGAAUUGAAUCCAAUUUAACAUUUGUGGAAAGAGCUAAAGACCAAGGUUCACAAGAGUGCCCCCCGGAAUCUUCAAGAUUUAAAGACAUUAUGUUAAAAAGAAUGGGCCAAAAUUACACCUGAAUACUGCGGCCGAUUAAUUUCUUUUUACAGGAGGCGUUUGGAACCUGUAAUUUUUAAAGUAUGUAAGUAUUAAUAAAUUUAAGUUGCCGUGCUCAAUA
Micropterus salmoides (largemouth bass) is the source of this 411-nucleotide long non-coding RNA. RefSeq lists it as uncharacterized. The transcript has 2 exons. Lineage: Eukaryota; Metazoa; Chordata; Actinopteri; Centrarchiformes; Centrarchidae. The record is from RefSeq and is a predicted model, not a curated record.